This 301-nucleotide ribosomal RNA is filed under the name uncultured bacterium. RNAcentral describes it as "partial 16S ribosomal RNA". It matches the Rfam family "Bacterial small subunit ribosomal RNA", at positions 509 to 807 of the family's 1533-position model. The record is from RNAcentral.
CAGCAGCCACGGGAAUACGGAGGGUGCUAGCGCUGUUCGGAAUUACUGGGCGUAAAGCGCACGUAGGCGGCUUGGUAAGUUAGAGGUGAAAGCCUGGAGCUCAACUUCAGAAUUGCCUUUAAGACUGCCGAGCUAGCAGGUGAGAGAGGUAAGUGGAAUUCCGAGUGUAGAGGUGAAAUUCGUAGAUAUUCGGAAGAACACCAGUGGCGAAGGCGGCUUACUGGCUCAUACUGGACGCUGAGGUGCGAAAGCGUGGGGAGCAAACAGGAUUAGAUACCCCAGUAGUCCCUGUCUCUUAUAC